GGUCAAGCUACAAAGGGCUGACGGUGGAUUCCUAGGCACACAGAGGCGAAGAAGGACGUGGCGACCGACGAAAUGUCCCGGGGAGCUGGAAGCGAGCAUUGAUCCGGGGGUAUCCGAAUGGGGCAACCCAGAGACUCCUGACUGAAUAAAUAGGUAAAGGAGAGCGAACCCAGCGAAUUGAAACAUCUUAGUAGCUGGAGGAAGAGAAAGCAAAAGCGAUUUUCUAAGUAGCGGUGAGCGAAAGGGAAGAAGCCUAAACCGGGUGUUUUUACACGCGGGGUAGUGGGACAGCAAGAAAGGACUGUAAAGGUUAGACGAAGCAGUUGAAAGCUGCACCAGAGGGGGUGAAAGUCCUGUAGUCUAAAGCCAGAGCAGCCGAGCUGAAUCCCGAGUAGCACGGAGCCCGUGGAAUUCCGUGUGAAUCAGCGAGGACCACCUCGUAAGGCUAAAUACUCCUGUGUGACCGAUAGAGGAAAAGUACCGUGAGGGAAAGGUGAAAAGAACCCCGGAAGGGGAGUGAAAUAGAACGUGAAACCGUCAGCCUACAAGCAGUGGGAGGUCGAUUCAACGACUGACCGCGUGCCUGUUGAAGCAUGAGCCGGCGAGUUAAAGGUAAUGGCAGGUUAAGACUUUUUGAGUUGAAGCCAAAGCGAAAGCGAGUCUGAUAAGGGCGUGAGUCAUUAUUUUUAGACCCGAACCCGGGUGAUCUAACCAUGUCCAGAAUGAAGCUUGGGUAAAGCCAAGUGGAGGUUCGAACCGACCGAUGUUGAAAAAUCGGCGGAUGAGGUGUGGUUAGGGGUGAAAUGCCAAUCGAACCCGGAGCUAGCUGGUUCUCCCCGAAAUGUGUUGAGGCACAGCGGUAAGGGUUUAAUCCUGGGGGUAAAGCACUGUUUCGGUGCGGGCUGCGAGAGCGGUACCAAAUCGAGACAAACUCUGAAUACCAGGUGUAUACCUUACCAGUCAGACGGUGGGGGAUAAGCUUCAUCGUCAAGAGGGAAACAGCCCAGACCACCAGCUAAGGUCCCCAAAUAACCGCUAAGUGAGAAAGGAGGUGGGAGUGCACAGACAACCAGGAGGUUUGCCUAGAAGCAGCCAUCCUUGAAAGAGUGCGUAAUAGCUCACUGGUCAAGCGCUCCUGCGCCGAAAAUGAACGGGGCUAAGCGGUUUACCGAAGCUGUGGACUCAGAAUAUGAGUGGUAGGGGAGCGUUCCGUAGUAGUGAGAAGCACUAGCGGCAAGCAGGUGUGGACGAAACGGAAGUGAGAAUGUCGGCUUAAGUAGCGAAAAUAUGUGUGAGAAUCACAUACCCCGAAACCCUAAGGGUUCCUCCGGACGGUUCGUCCGCGGAGGGUGAGUCAGGGCCUAAGGCGAGGCUGAAGAGCGUAGUCGAUGGAUAACGGGUCAAGAUUCCCGUACUGUUAAUAGUUUGUGAAGAGGGACGGAGUAGGUGUUGGCAAGCCAGAUGUUGGUUACUGGUGUAAGUGUUCAAGGUGAUGAGGUCUGGAGAAAACGGACUGAGCUGAGGCACGAGUCCGAGCUGCUACGGCGGCGAAGUUGCAGGCAUCAAGCUUCCAAGAAAAGCUCUAUACACGUUAAGCUAUUGACACCUGUACCCGAAACCGACACAGGUAGGGAGGUUGAGAAUACCAAGGGGCGCGAGAUAACUCUCUCUAAGGAACUCGGCAAAAUGGCUCCGUAACUUCGGGAGAAGGAGUGCCAGCGAGAGCUGGUCGCAGUGAAGAGGCCCAGGCGACUGUUUACCAAAAACACAGGUCUCCGCCAAGUCGUAAGACGAUGUAUGGGGGCUGACGCCUGCCCAGUGCCGGAAGGUUAAGGAAGUUGGUCAGGGAAACUGAAGCUAGCGACUGAAGCCCCGGUGAACGGCGGCCGUAACUAUAACGGUCCUAAGGUAGCGAAAUUCCUUGUCGGGUAAGUUCCGACCCGCACGAAAGGCGUAACGAUCUGGGCACUGUCUCGGAGAGAGACUCGGCGAAAUAGAAUUGUCUGUGAAGAUACGGACUACCUGCACCUGGACAGAAAGACCCUAUGAAGCUUUACUGUAGCCUGGCAUUGGGUUCGGGCUUUGACUGCGCAGGAUAGGUGGGAGACUUUGAAAUCAUCCUUGUGGGGAUGAUGGAGUCAACGGUGAGAUACCACUCUGUCAGAGCUAGAAUUCUAACUUUGACCCGUUAUCCGGGCAAAAGACAGUUUCAGGUGGGCAGUUUGACUGGGGCGGUCGCCUCCUAAAAGGUAACGGAGGCGCGCAAAGGUUCUCUCAGGCUGGUUGGAAAUCAGCCGCUGAGUGCAAAGGCAUAAGAGAGCUUGACUGCGAGAGAUACAACUCAAGCAGGAUGGAAACAUGGUCUUAGUGAUCCGACGGUGCUGUGUGGAAAGGCCGUCGCUCAACGGAUAAAAGUUACUCUAGGGAUAACAGGCUGAUCUCCCCCAAGAGUUCACAUCGACGGGGAGGUUUGGCACCUCGAUGUCGGCUCGUCGCAACCUGGGGCUGAAGUCGGUCCCAAGGGUUGGGCUGUUCGCCCAUUAAAGCGGCACGUGAGCUGGGUUCAGAACGUCGUGAGACAGUUCGGUCCAUAUCCGGUGCAGGCGCAAGAGCAUUGAGAGGAUUCCUCCCUAGUACGAGAGGACCGGGAGGAACGCACCGCUGGUGUACCUGUUAUCGUGCCAACGGUAAACGCAGGGUAGCUAUGUGCGGAGCGGAUAACCGCUGAAAGCAUCUAAGUGGGAAGCCCACCUCAAGAUGAGUGCUCUCAUGGGGUUAACCCAGUAAGGUCACGGGUAGACUACCCGUUGAUAGGUGCUCGGUGGAAGUGCAGCAAUGUAUGCAGCCAAGGCACACUAAUAGACCGAGGGCUUGACCUU
This 2879-nucleotide ribosomal RNA is filed under the name Oscillatoriales cyanobacterium RM2_1_1. RNAcentral describes it as "23S ribosomal RNA". It matches the Rfam family "Bacterial large subunit ribosomal RNA". The record is from RNAcentral. Lineage: Bacteria; Bacillati; Cyanobacteriota; Cyanophyceae; Oscillatoriales.